RNAcentral lists this ribosomal RNA (477 nucleotides) under uncultured Pelotomaculum sp. RNAcentral's name for it is "bacterial SSU rRNA". It matches the Rfam family "Bacterial small subunit ribosomal RNA", at positions 906 to 1382 of the family's 1533-position model. The record is from RNAcentral. Lineage: Bacteria; Bacillati; Bacillota; Clostridia; Eubacteriales; Desulfotomaculaceae.
GGAAUUGACGGGGCCGCACAAGCGGUGGAGCAUGUGGUUUAAUUCGACGCAACGCGAAGAACCUUACCAGGGCUUGACAUCCCCUGACCGCGUAUGAAAGUACGUUUUCACCCUCGGGUGACAGGGAGACAGGUGGUGCAUGGUUGUCGUCAGCUCGUGUCGUGAGAUGUUGGGUUAAGUCCCGCAACGAGCGCAACCCCUACGUUUAGUUGCUAACGCGUGAAGGCGAGCACUCUAGACGAACUGCCGUUGACAAAACGGAGGAAGGUGGGGAUGACGUCAAGUCCUCAUGGCCCUUAUGGGUAGGGCUUCACACGUCAUACAAUGGUCGGUACAGAGGGUUGCCAAGCCGCGAGGCGGAGCCAAUCCCACAAAGCCGAUCGUAGUCCGGAUUGUUCUCUGCAACUCGAGAGCAUGAAGUCGGAAUCGCUAGUAAUCGCGGGUCAGCAUACUGCGGUGAAUACGUUCCCGGGUCUU